RNAcentral lists this long non-coding RNA (348 nucleotides) under Manihot esculenta (cassava). Its description in RNAcentral is "long non-coding RNA (MESC_LNC006190)". The record is from RNAcentral. Lineage: Eukaryota; Viridiplantae; Streptophyta; Magnoliopsida; Malpighiales; Euphorbiaceae.
UAAACAACCAAUCCAUUCCUAAAAUCACAUCAAACUCCCGAAAAGGUAAUUCAACCAAAUCUCCAUGAAAAAUGUGACCGUGAAUCAAGAUGGGGCAAUCUUUAAAUACUUUACUGACAACUACACUGUGGCCAAGAGGAUUAGUUACUACUAUAUCCUGGUCUAGUAUGUCUGCUUGUAGUUCUUUUUUAUUUGUGAUAGGUAUGCAAAUAUAAGAGUGUGUGGAACCAGGAUCUAUUAAAGCAUGAACAGACCGGCCAAAGAUAGAAAAUAUACCCAUGAUAACAUCUAGGGCAUCCUGAUCCUCUCUGGCUUUGAUGGCAUAGGCUCUGGCAGGUGCUCUAGAUU